This is a long non-coding RNA of Panicum hallii, 1015 nucleotides long. RefSeq lists it as uncharacterized. The record is from RefSeq and is a predicted model, not a curated record. NCBI's taxonomy places the organism in Eukaryota, Viridiplantae, Streptophyta, Magnoliopsida, Poales, Poaceae. The transcript has 2 exons.
CUUUCUCUUUCCUUUUCAUUUCUUCUCGAUCCGUUCCCCCAUCUCACGCUGCUCGGCUCGGCGCCUAGGGUUUCCAGGCCCGGCGACGAGUCCCGUUCGCCGUCGUGGAGGAGGCGCGUGCCGCGCCCUACACUUGGCCCCUGGGAGGAGGGCGGGCAGCGGCUCGCCCCCACGGCCGCCGCUCGCCGCCGGGGAGGCAUCCGUGGUGGCGGAUCCGCGCCCAACGCUCAUCCCCGGCAGGUGGCUCACCCCCACAGAUUUUAUUUCUGCGAAUCGUUGAUUAUUCCUGGUUUUGUGUGCAGUUAAGGAGGACUACAGCAGAUUAAGAGCUCUCAGCUACAUGGGCGCUGAUGUGUUCAUCCUGAAGAUAAGUUCCCCAUCCUGCUGUUUACUUGUUUCCAUUGUAUGAGAUAUAUGUGACUGUCUAUACUUGAGAGUAAACUUCACUGUUGAAGAAUUGAAGAGAGAGAUUUCUGAUCAUGAUGCAGAGAAAUAAGUCUGUUAUUCUUCUCGUUUUGUUAUCUCUGUAGUCUGAUGAACUCUCUGAAGGUGCUCACUCUAGGUUUGUGGCGGCUGCUUUAUGUCAUCUCCUUUAUUUCACUCUGUUUUUUGAAGCGAAAAAAGUUGGACCAAUCAUUCAUAUUUGUGCCAUUGAGUAGAUAGAGCCAUUAAGCUUACUGAACGUACUGUCAAUUUCUGACAUGUACUCCUGUAUUCUUUGGUGCUACUGGUUUUCAGGUUCGGAAAGCUGCCUUACUAUUGGCUGACUUUGUUUUGCACUAAAGCUUUACAUCGUCCAUCUUUGAUGGUGUUACUGCCAUAAGGUCCUGCAUGCGGAGGUAAAGAAGACUCACAGGACCUGUAGAUGUGGCUUGCUUCUUGAUAUGUACAUGCUGUUCUUGUGAAAUUAUGUACAAACAAGAAAUUCAGAACUUGAGCUUUGUGAUGCUAUGUAUAAGUUGACUUACAGUGCUUUGAAUAUUUGAUUGGCUUGGCGGCUGUGAGUUUUCCUCAA